Molecule: ribosomal RNA, 461 nt
Filed under: uncultured bacterium
Lineage: Bacteria
Description: partial 16S ribosomal RNA
Rfam family: Bacterial small subunit ribosomal RNA
Source: RNAcentral
CUACGGGAGGCUGCAGGGAAUAUUGCGCAAUGGACGAAAGUCUGACGCAGCAACUCCGCGUGGAGGAUGACGGUCUUCGGAUUGUAAACUUCUUUUAUUUGGGAAGAAAGUGCAUAGUAGUAACUGACUAUGUUUUGACGGUACCAUUUGAAUAAGCCACGGCUAAAUACGUGCCAGCAGCCGCGGUAAUACGUAUGUGGCGAGCGUUACUCGGAAUCACUGGGCGUAAAGAGUACGUAGGCGGUUUUUUAAGCCAGAGGUGAAAUUUCGGAGCUCAACUUCGAACCUGCCUUUGGAACUGGAAGACUUGAGUAUGUGAGGGGAAGAUGGAAUUCCUGGUGUAGCGGUGGAAUGCGUAGAUAUCAGGAAGAACACCAGCGGCGAAGGCGGUCUUCUGGCACAAUACUGACGCUGAGGUACGAAAGCGUGGGGAGCGAACAGGAUUAGAUACCCCAGUAGUC